Molecule: ribosomal RNA, 941 nt
Filed under: uncultured crenarchaeote
Lineage: Archaea; Thermoproteati; Thermoproteota
Description: bacterial SSU rRNA
Rfam family: Archaeal small subunit ribosomal RNA
Source: RNAcentral
UUCCGGUUGAUCCUGCCGGACCCCACUGCUAUCGGGAUAGGACUAAGACAUGCUAGUCGUGUGCCUCAGCCAAAACGAGGCACGGCGCACAGCUCAGUAACACGUGGCUAACCUGCCCUUAGGACGAGAAUAACCCCGGGAAACUGGGGCUAAUGCUCGAUAGGUGAAGAACUCUGGAAUGAGCCUUCACUUAAAAGAGUCUGCGUUAUGCUCGUAGAUUUCGCUUAAGGAUGGGGCCGCGACCGAUCAGGUUGUUGGUGAGGUAAUGGCUCACCAAGCCUUUUACCGGUGCGGGCCGUGAGAGCGGGAGCCCGGAGAUGGGCACUGAGACAAGGGCCCAGGCCCUACGGGGCGCAGCAGUCGCGAAAACUUUGCAAUACACGAAAGUGUGACAGGGCUAUCCCGAGUGCCAUCCGCUGAGGAAGGCUUUUACCCAGUCUAGAAAGCUGGGGGAAUAAGGAGAGGGCAAGUCUGGUGUCAGCCGCCGCGGUAAUACCAGCUCUCCGAGUGGUGUGGAUGUUUAUUGGGCCUAAAGCAUCCGUAGCUGGCUAAGUUAGUCCCCUGUUAAAUCCAACGAAUUAAUCGUUGGAUCGCGGGGGAUACUGCUUGGCUAGGGGACGAGAGAGGCAGACGGUAUUUCCGGGGUAGGGGUGAAAUCCUAUAAUCCCGGGAAGACCACCAGUGGCGAAGGCUGUCUGCUAGAACGCGCCCGACGGUGAGGGAUGAAAGCUGGGGGAGCGAACCGGAUUAGAUACCCGGGUAGUCCCAGCUGUAAACGAUGCAGGCUAGGUGUUUGGACGGCCACGUGCCGUUCUAGUGCUGCAGGGAAGCUGUUAAGCCUGCCGCCUGGGGAGUACGAUCGCAAGAUUGAAACUUAAAGGAAUUGGCGGGGGAGCACCACAAGGGGUGAAGCUUGCGGUUUAAUUGGAUUCAACGCCGGG